CUUUAAAUGGGCGAAGGGCCCCGCCUGCGGAAGCGAGGCGGCGGACUCGGAUGCAGAGCGCCCAGUGGGCCACUUUUGGUAAGCAGAACUGGCGCUGCGGGAUGAACCGAACGCCGGGUUACGGCGCCCGAUGCGAGACGCUCACGAGACCCCAUGAAAGGCGUUGGUUGCUCCAGACAGCCGGGCGGUGGCCAUGGAAGUCGGAACCCGCCAAGGAGUGUGUAACAACUCACCGGCCGAAGCAACUAGCCCUGAAAAUGGAUGGCGCUCCAGCGUCGAGCCCAAACCCGGCCGUCGCGGCAGAGCGAGCUGGCUUAGGCCGCGACGAGUAGGAGGGUCGCGGCGGCGUGCGUCGAAGGUGCCGGGCGCGAGCCCGCCUGGAGCCGCCGCCGGUGCAGAUCUUGGUGAUAGUAGCAAAUACUCGAGUGAGAGCCUCGAGGACCGAGGUGGAGAAGGGUUCCAUGUGAACAGCAGUUGAACAUGGGUCAGUCGGCCCUAAGGGAUCGGCGAAGGCCGUUCCGAAGCGGGGGCUUUUCCGAGCGGAUCGCCCCCGGAGCGACCGAAAGGGAAUCGGGUCAAUAUUCCCGAACCCGGACGCGGAGAUCGGCCCCUCGGGGCCGAGCGCGGCGACGCAACCGAACUCGGAGACGUCGACGGGAGUCCCGGGGAGAGUUUUCUUUUCUUUGUAAGGGCCCGGCUCCCUGGAAUCGGCUCGUCCGGAGAUAGGGACGCUGGCGCCCGUAAAGCACCGCGGCUCUUGCGGUGUCCGGAGCGCUCCCGUCGGCCCUUGAAAAUCCGAGGGAGGAGGUGUGAUUCUCGCGCCGGGCCGUACCCAUAUCCGCAGCAGGU
This 849-nucleotide ribosomal RNA is filed under the name Theotima sp. 504 FL-2019. Its description in RNAcentral is "partial large subunit ribosomal RNA". It matches the Rfam family "Eukaryotic large subunit ribosomal RNA", at positions 1063 to 1864 of the family's 3401-position model. The record is from RNAcentral. Lineage: Eukaryota; Metazoa; Arthropoda; Arachnida; Araneae; Ochyroceratidae.